AAAAGCUGAAAAGACUCGCGCAGUCCAGCCAGGAGAUGCCAAAUUGUCGUGGAAAUUAGACAACACUCGCAGACUCGUCCUCUGAAGUUUUGAAGCUGUGAUCUAAGAAACACCAAUAUCUCUGCCGUCACAGAGGCGACGUUCCUGGAACUUCUUAUAAGAAAUAGCUCCAUGUAAUACUUCUCUCAAGUCAGGGAUAAGGCUGCAUCUGUCUUUUGCUCUGCACAACAAAGGGGAAACCGCCUUCGCGUCAACACAGAUUUCAGGGUGAAACUUU
Long non-coding RNA from Ictalurus punctatus (channel catfish), 277 nucleotides. RefSeq lists it as uncharacterized. The transcript is spliced from 3 exons. NCBI's taxonomy places the organism in Eukaryota, Metazoa, Chordata, Actinopteri, Siluriformes, Ictaluridae. The record is from RefSeq and is a predicted model, not a curated record.